ACCGUAUAGGGGAGCCGUAGAGAAAUCGAGUCUUAAUAGGGCGUUUAGUUGCUGGGUAUAGACCCGAAACCAGGCGAUCUAUCCAUGAGCAGGUUGAAGGUUGGGUAACACUAACUGGAGGACCGAACCCACUGUCGUUGAAAAGCCAGGGAUGACUUGUGGAUAGGGGUGAAAGGCUAAUCAAGCCUGGUGAUAGCUGGUUCUCCCCGAAAGCUAUUUAGGUAGCGCCUCGGACGAAUACCAUAGGGGGUAGAGCACUGUUUCGGCUAGGGGGUCAUCCCGACUUACCAAACCGAUGCAAACUCCGAAUACCUAUGAGUACUAUCCGGGAGACAGACUGCGGUGCUAACGUCCGUAGUCAAGAGGAAAACAAUCCAGACCGCCAGCUAAGGCCCCAAAAUCAUAGUUAAGUGGGAAACGAUGUGGGAAGGCAUAGACAGCUAGGAGGUUGGCUUAGAAGCAGCCACCCUUUAAAGAAAGCGUAAUAGCUCACUAGUCGAGUCGGCCUGCGCGGAAGAUGUAACGGGGCUAAAACUAUGUGCCGAAGCUGCGGAUUUGACAUUAGUCAAGUGGUAGGGGAGCGUUCUGUAAGCCGAUGAAGGUGUAUUGAGAAGUAUGCUGGAGGUAUCAGAAGUGCGAAUGCUGACGUGAGUAACGACAAAACGGGUGAAAAACCCGUUCGCCGAAAGACCAAGGGUUCCAGUCCAACGUUAAUCGGGGCUGGUGAGUCGACCCCUAAGGCGAGGCCGAAAGGCGUAGUCGAUGGGAAAAUGGUUAAUAUUCCAUUACUUCUGUGUAAUGCGAUGAGAGGACGGAGAAGGCUAAAUCAGCCUGGCGUUGGUUGUCCAGGUGAAAGGAUGUAGGCAUGUAUCUUAGGCAAAUCCGGGGUACUCUAUGCUGAGAUCUGAUAGCAAGCUGUACUUGUACAGCGAAGUGGUUGAUGCCAUGCUUCCAGGAAAAGUCUCUAAGCUUCAGUUACACAGGAAUCGUACCCGAAACCGACACAGGUGGUCAGGUCGAGUAGACCAAGGCGCUUGAGAGAACUCUGCUGAAGGAACUAGGCAAAAUGGUACCGUAACUUCGGGAGAAGGUACGCUGUUGUUGGUGAUGGAACUCGCUUCCUGAGCUGACGACAGCCGCAGAAACCAGGCCGCUGCAACUGUUUAUUAAAAACAUAGCACUCUGCAAACACGAAAGUGGACGUAUAGGGUGUGAUGCCUGCCCGGUGCUGGAAGGUUAAUUGAUGGGGUUAGCGUAAGCGAAGCUCUUGAUCGAAGCCCCAGUAAACGGCGGCCGUAACUAUAACGGUCCUAAGGUAGCGAAAUUCCUUGUCGGGUAAGUUCCGACCUGCACGAAUGGCAUAAUGAUGGCGGCGCUGUCUCCAGCAGAGGCUCAGUGAAAUCGAAAUCGCUGUGAAGAUGCAGUGUACCCGCGGCUAGACGGAAAGACCCCGUGAACCUUUACUGCAGCUUGACACUGAACUUUGACCUUACUUGUGUAGGAUAGGUGGGAGGCUUUGAAGCUGGAACGCUAGUUCCAGUGGAGCCGUCCUUGAAAUACCACCCUGGUAAUGUUGAGGUUCUAACUCUGUCCCGUGAUCCGGGACGAGGACCGUGUCUGGUGGGUAGUUUGACUGGGGCGGUCUCCUCCUAAAGAGUAACGGAGGAGUACGAAGGUGCGCUCAGCGUGGUCGGAAAUCACGCGUAGAGUAUAAAGGCAAAAGCGCGCUUAACUGCGAGACCCACAAGUCGAGCAGGUACGAAAGUAGGUCUUAGUGAUCCGGUGGUUCUGUAUGGAAGGGCCAUCGCUCAACGGAUAAAAGGUACUCUGGGGAUAACAGGCUGAUACCGCCCAAGAGUUCAUAUCGACGGCGGUGUUUGGCACCUCGAUGUCGGCUCAUCUCAUCCUGGGGCUGAAGCAGGUCCCAAGGGUAUGGCUGUUCGCCAUUUAAAGAGGUACGCGAGCUGGGUUUAGAACGUCGUGAGACAGUUCGGUCCCUAUCUACCGUGGGCGCUGGAAAUUUGAGAGGAUCUGCUCCUAGUACGAGAGGACCAGAGUGGACGAACCUCUGGUGUACCGGUUGUGACGCCAGUCGCAUCGCCGGGUAGCUAUGUUCGGAAGGGAUAACCGCUGAAAGCAUCUAAGCGGGAAGCCUACCUCAAGAUAAGAUUUCCCUAGGACUUUAUGUCCUCUAAAGAGCCGUUCGAGACUAGGACGUUGAUAGGUUGGAUGUGGAAGCAUAGUGAUAUGUGAAGCUGACCAAUACUAAUUGCUCGUGAGGCUUGACUAU
RNAcentral lists this ribosomal RNA (2290 nucleotides) under Acinetobacter baumannii 1428368. Its description in RNAcentral is "bacterial LSU rRNA". It matches the Rfam family "Bacterial large subunit ribosomal RNA", at positions 649 to 2925 of the family's 2925-position model. Lineage: Bacteria; Pseudomonadati; Pseudomonadota; Gammaproteobacteria; Moraxellales; Moraxellaceae. The record is from RNAcentral.